Molecule: ribosomal RNA, 433 nt
Filed under: uncultured bacterium
Lineage: Bacteria
Description: partial 16S ribosomal RNA
Rfam family: Bacterial small subunit ribosomal RNA
Source: RNAcentral
AACGAACGCUGGCGGCAUGCCUAACACAUGCAAGUCGAACGAGACGUUCCGGCCUUGUGGCGCUCGGCUGCGUAACGACUGGGAACCUGCCCUUAGGUACCGAAUAACUCACUUUAGGGGGAGUUAAUGACAGUUAAUCUCUUCGCACAAAAGAUUUAUCGCUUUUGGAUGGGGCCGCGUUAGAUUCGCUAGUUGGUAGGGUAAAAGCCGACCAAGGCGACGUUCCAUAGCUGGUCUGGGAGGAGGAUCAGCCACGCUGGCGCUGAGACCCGGCCCAGACUCGUACGGGAGGGAGGAGUGGGGAAUAUUGGACGAUGGGCGAAAGCCUGAUACAGCAGUGCCGGGUAAGUGAUGAAGGGGUUAGGGUUGUAAAGCUCUUUUACCCGAGAUGAUAAUGACAGUACCGGGUGAAUAAGCUCCGGCUAACUCCGUG